GAGACACGGACCAGACUCCUACGGGAGGCAGCAGUGAGGAAUAUUGGUCAAUGGGAGAGAUCCUGAACCAGCCAAGCCGCGUGAGGGAAGACGGCCCUAUGGGUUGUAAACCUCUUUUGUCGGAGAACAAAACCCGGGACGAGUCCCGGACUGCGUGUAUCCGAAGAAAAAGCAUCGGCUAACUCCGUGCCAGCAGCCGCGGUAAUACGGAGGAUGCGAGCGUUAUCCGGAUUUAUUGGGUUUAAAGGGUGCGUAGGCGGUCCGUUAAGUCAGCGGUAAAAUUGCGGGGCUCAACCCCGUCGAGCCGUUGAAACUGUCAGACUUGAGUUGGCGAGAAGUACGCGGAAUGCGCGGUGUAGCGGUGAAAUGCAUAGAUAUCGCGCAGAACUCCGAUUGCGAAGGCAGCGUACCGGCGCCAGACUGACGCUGAGGCACGAAAGCGUGGGGAUCGAACAGGAUUAGAUACCCUGGUAGUCCACGCAGUAAACGAUGAAUGCUGGUUGUCCGGGUCGAAUGAGAUCUGG
This 524-nucleotide ribosomal RNA is filed under the name uncultured bacterium. Its description in RNAcentral is "bacterial SSU rRNA". It matches the Rfam family "Bacterial small subunit ribosomal RNA", at positions 321 to 842 of the family's 1533-position model. The record is from RNAcentral.